RNAcentral lists this ribosomal RNA (1360 nucleotides) under uncultured bacterium. Its description in RNAcentral is "16S ribosomal RNA". It matches the Rfam family "Bacterial small subunit ribosomal RNA", at positions 35 to 1389 of the family's 1533-position model. The record is from RNAcentral.
GCUAGCUACAGGCUUAACACAUGCAAGUCGAGGCGUAGCAUGGUCUUAGCUUGCUAAGACUGAUGGCGACCGGCGCACGGGUGAGUAACACGUAUCCAACCUGCCGUCUACUCUUGGACAGCCUUCUGAAAGGAAGAUUAAUACAAGAUGGCAUCAUGAGUCCGCAUGUUCACAUGAUUAAAGGUAUUCCGGUAGACGAUGGGGAUGCGUUCCAUUAGAUAGUAGGCGGGGUAACGGCCCACCUAGUCUUCGAUGGAUAGGGGUUCUGAGAGGAAGGUCCCCCACAUUGGAACUGAGACACGGUCCAAACUCCUACGGGAGGCAGCAGUGAGGAAUAUUGGUCAAUGGGCGAGAGCCUGAACCAGCCAAGUAGCGUGAAGGAUGACUGCCCUAUGGGUUGUAAACUUCUUUUAUAAAGGAAUAAAGUCGGGUAUGCAUACCCGUUUGCAUGUACUUUAUGAAUAAGGAUCGGCUAACUCCGUGCCAGCAGCCGCGGUAAUACGGAGGAUCCGAGCGUUAUCCGGAUUUAUUGGGUUUAAAGGGAGCGUAGAUGGAUGUUUAAGUCAGUUGUGAAAGUUUGCGGCUCAACCGUAAAAUUGCAGUUGAUACUGGAUAUCUUGAGUGCAGUUGAGGCAGGCGGAAUUCGUGGUGUAGCGGUGAAAUGCUUAGAUAUCACGAAGAACUCCGAUUGCGAAGGCAGCCUGCUAAGCUGCAACUGACAUUGAGGCUCGAAAGUGUGGGUAUCAAACAGGAUUAGAUACCCUGGUAGUCCACACGGUAAACGAUGAAUACUCGCUGUUUGCGAUAUAAAGGCAAGCGGCCAAGCGAAAGCGUUAAGUAUUACACCUGGGGAGUACCCCGGCAACGGUGAAACUCAAAGGAAUUGACGGGGGCCCGCACAAGCGGAGGAACAUGUGGUUUAAUUCGAUGAUACGCGAGGAACCUUACCCGGGCUUAAAUUGCAGAUGAAUUACGGUGAAAGCCGUAAGCCGCAAGGCAUCUGUGAAGGUGCUGCAUGGUUGUCGUCAGCUCGUGCCGUGAGGUGUCGGCUUAAGUGCCAUAACGAGCGCAACCCUUGUUGUCAGUUACUAACAGGUUCCGCUGAGGACUCUGACAAGACUGCCAUCGUAAGAUGUGAGGAAGGUGGGGAUGACGUCAAAUCAGCACGGCCCUUACGUCCGGGGCUACACACGUGUUACAAUGGGGGGUACAGAGGGCCGCUACCACGCGAGUGGAUGCCAAUCCCCAAAACCUCUCUCAGUUCGGACUGGAGUCUGCAACCCGACUCCACGAAGCUGGAUUCGCUAGUAAUCGCGCAUCAGCCACGGCGCGGUGAAUACGUUCCCGGGCCUUGCACACA